CUUUUUCGCAGUGUAGCGGACUGCGAAGGUUAUGACGGAUACGGGGAGUUAGGGCUCGACUCCGGAGAGGGAGCCUUAGAAACGGCUACCACUUCUAAGGAAGGCAGCAGGCGCGUAAUUUACCCAAUUAGCAAAGCUAGAGGUAGUGACGACCAAUAAAUAAGAGUUUGGGUUUAUCUCAGACUCUAUAUGAAUGAGUACAAUGUAAAAAACUUAACAAGGAUCAAUUGGAGGGCAAGUCUGGUGCCAGCAGCCGCGGUAAUUCCAGCUCCAAUAGCGUAUAUUAUAGUUGUUGCAGUUAAAAAGUUCGUAGUUGGAUUUGAAGAGAGGGAAAUAUUGGUAGUGAGUGAUAAUUAAAAUUAUCAUUCAUUACUAUCCUUCUCAACCUAAAAGGUUGAAGAUUAUAAAUAGACAAUAUUCAUAAUUUUCCUUUACUUUGUAUUUAAUCCUAAUCGUUCAAAGUAAGGUCACAUUAGUUGU
This 480-nucleotide ribosomal RNA is filed under the name uncultured eukaryote. Its description in RNAcentral is "bacterial SSU rRNA". It matches the Rfam family "Eukaryotic small subunit ribosomal RNA", at positions 319 to 798 of the family's 1831-position model. The record is from RNAcentral.